Molecule: long non-coding RNA, 2680 nt
Organism: Gossypium arboreum
Lineage: Eukaryota; Viridiplantae; Streptophyta; Magnoliopsida; Malvales; Malvaceae
Exons: 3
Source: RefSeq, a predicted model, not a curated record
AAAUAGUAAUAAAAUGAAACGGCAGAAAUAAAAGUGCACUGAAAAAGGAAACCUAAUCCACCCUUAGUCAAUCUUCCAAUGGCUGGAAACCAUUAAUCUCUCUUGACAUUUCUUAUCAACUGUCCCAUCCGUUUUACUCUUUUGACAAUAGCACUGCCGAAUAUUUCAUUCUUUGCUUUCUGCUUUUAGAAACAAGUUCUCUCCCAAUCUUCUUAGUCCGGGUUUCUUGCCUAUUGUUCUUCUGCUCUCAUAUCAUAGUGAAUCGGUUCCUCAUUCUCCAGCAAACUGAGACGCAACAUUGCGAUGAAUAAUCGAUUUCGAAGCCAAAACCUAUUUCAUCAGACCCCUGACUACCAACCCCGACGCUAAUCUGAACUUUUUGUUGUUGAACACAGCAUCAACUGGAUCUUCACGAUCGGUAAGUCUUCCACAUUUCUUUGAUUUCGCACCGUAUGUGAUAAAGUCGUAUUAACUUUAAUCCCUUUGUAUUCUGCCAUGUGGUUUUGAAUUUUCCGUGCGAGGUUUCUGCCCGUUGUGUGUACCCGUUCAUGCAAAAGUUGAUUCCUUGAAUGCCAAAGUAUCCAUAAGCCAUAACAAAAAUAUCUGCAUUGUUCAUUUGUUCCUUGUUUGAAAAACAUAGAGAGCCACUCCCAGAAAUUUUGAUGCACGAAAGUUGUGACCCAAGAAAGGUUUAAUAGCUGCCAGACCUCUAUGCUUGUGGAACAUUGCUUGAAAAUAUGAUGACAAUCUUCAUCUUCAUAACCGCACCUAGGGCAUUUGGCAUUUGUCACUAAUCUUCUAUGUCGGAGAUUGCCCAAAGUAGGAAUGUAAUUCCAUGACAUGCGCCAGAUUAUGAUUGUAAUCUUAGACGGUAGUUGUAGUUUCCAUAGUUUUCUGAAAAAUUCCUUGGUUUCGGUCUGUAACAAAUAAUGACUAGGAUUCAGAUUAGCAAUUUGUAAUAGUUUAUAGGCACUACGGACUGAGUAUUCCUCUGUUGGUUCGCCCUUCCAACUUGGAAGUCCUCGUGCACUGAUUCCGAUAGUGGGAUCUGUAGGAUUGUGCGAGCAACCUCCGGGUGAAAGUGAUUCCAUUUCUUGGACUCGUCGAUCAUUCCAGAUGGAUACUUUGUUCCCUUUACUGAUUUGCCAGCUUAGGCCUUGUUGAAGGAGCCCCUUAGCUGCCCAAAUGCUCUUCCAGGUAAGUGAAGGUAAAGUUCCUAACUGAGCCUCUAAGAAAGUCGAAUAUGGAUAAUAUUUUGCUUUUAAAACCCUGGCUAGUAAUGAAUUAGGAUAAUGAAUCAAAUUCCAUCCUUGUUUAGCAAGUAACGCAACAUUAAAUUGACUCAAAUUUCGAAAGCCUAGGCCGCCAUUCUCUUUUAAAAAGCAAAGAUUUUUCCAAGUACACCAAUGAAUUCCCCUUUUCCCAUGUCCCUUCUGCCACCAAUACUUAGCUAUAAUAUUUUCAAGAUCAUCACAAAGGGAAUUAGGUAAUAGACAACAUGCCAUUGUGUAAGUCAGAAUUGCUUGAAGAAUUGCUUUAAUAAAGACUUCUUUACCUCCUUGCGAUAAAAACCUAGUACUACAAUUAUCAAUACGUUUUUUAUGGCGGCCUUUCAAAGUCUGAAAAGCUUCUUUCUUUCUCCUUCCCACCAUAUUCAGCAAUCCCAGAUAGCGUUCUGGCUAGUUUCAACUUCGAACACCCAGUAAAUUGACAACCAUUUUCUUUUCUUCUUCUAAAAUGUUUUUGCUGAAAAAUACCGUUGAUUUAUCAAAAUUCACACAUUGCCCCGAACAAAGUCCGUAUUCUUCCAAUAUAUUUUUGAAUAGAUGGGCCCUUCUUCUUGUGGCUUCUCCAAAUAAGAUAUAGUCGUUGGUAAAUAAAAGGUGUGAAAUCGGUAGACCAUUCCUGCUAACCUUCACUCCUCUUAGAAGUCCCUCCCAUUCUGCGAGCCACAAUAGACUGGAUAAUCCCUCACCACAUAAAAGAAAUAAAAAUGGGCUUAAUGGAUCACCUUGACAAAGUCAUCUGGUCUGUUGAAAUUUCUCUCCUCGAUGUCCGUUCAUGACCACUAAAUAAGAAACAGUGGUAACACAUUGCAUAAUGGCCUCUACCCAUCUAUUUGCAAAACCCAGUUGAAUCAUUAGCUGCUUUAUAAAUUCCCAUUUGAACCUAUCAUAAGCUUUGCUCAUAUCGAGUUUAACUGCCAUUAAAUCUUUCUUCCCCAUUCUUUUCUGCUUCAAUGUAUUCAGGAUUUCAUAGGCUAACAGCACGUUGUUAGAUAUUAGUCUUUCUGGCACAAAAGUGCCUUACGUAGCAUCUAUACAUUUUUCGAUCACUCUUCGAAAUUGGUUCACAAGAGUCUUUGCCAAGAUUUUAUAAAGAACAUUACAAAGACUAAUUGGACAAAAGUGCAUCAUAUUAGAAGGACUAGAAUUCUUUGGGAUUAGUACAAUAUUUGUAAAGUUAAGUGAUCUAACCUCCAUAUCACCGUUUAAAAGAUUUAAGCAGAAAUUGGUAACUUCAUCUCUAAUAAAGUGCCAACAUUUCUGAUAAAAUAGUCCUUGAAAUCCAUCUUCUCCUAGAGCCUUCGUAGAACCCAUGUCGAGCACUGCCAUUUGAAUUUCUUCUUUUGAAUAAUUUUCUGUUAAUUGUUUAUUAUCCUCCUCAUGUAUGCACCAGC